RNAcentral lists this ribosomal RNA (253 nucleotides) under uncultured bacterium. RNAcentral describes it as "partial 16S ribosomal RNA". It matches the Rfam family "Bacterial small subunit ribosomal RNA", at positions 524 to 776 of the family's 1533-position model. The record is from RNAcentral.
UACAGAGGUCUCAAGCGUUGUUCGGAUUCAUUGGGCGUAAAGGGUGUGUAGGUGGCGCCGUAAGUCGGGUGUGAAAUUUCGGAGCUUAACUCCGAAACUGCAUUCGAUACUGCGGUGCUUGAGGACUGGAGAGGAGACUGGAAUUCAUGGUGUAGCAGUGAAAUGCGUAGAGAUCAUGAGGAAGACCAGUGGCGAAGGCGGGUCUCUGGACAGUUCCUGACACUGAGACACGAAGGCCAGGGGAGCAAACAGG